Molecule: long non-coding RNA, 546 nt
Filed under: Cicer arietinum (chickpea)
Lineage: Eukaryota; Viridiplantae; Streptophyta; Magnoliopsida; Fabales; Fabaceae
Description: long non-coding RNA (CARI_LNC000983)
Source: RNAcentral
UUAUUCGGCACACCUAAAGUGGAUAUUAUAAACAACUGCGAUCAAUAGUUUCUUUUGUUUUCUUUUAGGUUUAGAGACCACUAAAGUAAAACUAUGAUUCUAGUUUCAAAGUUGUUCCAAAAUACGUCUAUCGUGGACAACAUUCCCAUUAUAGAUUUGGUCUGCAUGGAUUUGAAGGCCUUGGACAGUCUCAUUCUCUUACGAUGCAUCAUUUCAAAAGUUGAUAAUACGCAAAUCAAGGAACACAUUUCACUAAUCUCCUUGAAUUUCUUCAACAAUAUGAUCCAUAGUAUUAUGAGCAGAGGUAGAAAAACUAUGCCAAAGACAUCAUAAAUAACAUCUACAACCUUUCUAUCAACAAAUCUACUCUUGUUAGCUAUAUCCUCUUUUGCAAAAUCAACCCAUGUUUUCAAUGUGUUAAUUUGAUUUUGGCGUAUUCACCCCGACAUAUUAAAGAGAUGGGUUUCGUAAUAGGGGUAAGCAUAUUUAUUGGCUCAACAAAAAAUUAUUAUUACUUAGUUAGCUAUAUCUUCUCAUGUUGUCGAG